Long non-coding RNA from Bactrocera dorsalis (oriental fruit fly), 1653 nucleotides. RefSeq lists it as uncharacterized. Lineage: Eukaryota; Metazoa; Arthropoda; Insecta; Diptera; Tephritidae. The transcript is spliced from 3 exons. The record is from RefSeq and is a predicted model, not a curated record.
UAAAGGAGCCGCAAAAAGGAUAAGAGAAUCGUAUAAUUACGUUGGAGUUGCAAGUGCCGCAACACCAUUGCCUCAUUCGGACCACAUUCCUGUGCCAAAAGCUUCUAGCCCAGAUAUUUUCUCUUUUACGACUGCUCCGUGCUCCGCUACUAUCAUGCACGUGAUGAUUCCCCAUAUGAGCCAUCAGUAUCCAAUGAGCCAAUUUUAAUAAAUCAAAAUAAGCUUGAUUCAAUUGUUGCCAAGUUGGAAUUAACACAGCAUAUAUCGGAAGAGCUGGCUUCCAUUUUGAAAUCAAACAAUUUGUUGGCACCCGGUGUGAAAGUCACAGCUUAUCGAAGUCGUCAGGCAACACUCCAAAGUUUAUUCCUUGUGAAUGAUGAAAAAACUUCUGCAUAUUGCCCGGAUGUAGGAAAAUUGAUGAACGCAAUGGUAAUAAAAUAUGAAGCAGAUGACUGAAGAUUAUUUAUUGACAGUUCAAAACUGAGCUUGAAGGCGGUUUUACUUCAUAAGACCAAUAAAAAACCUUCAGUUCCAAUCGCCUAUAGUACAGAAACGAAAGAAACAUAUGAUGCACUGGAAAAUAAUAUAAUAUAAUUUGUAAUUUAAAACUGGUUAAAGUUGGUGAACUGGUGAAGUUUUCUUGUUUUUGAAACUAAUUUACCCGAGACUCAGCGAAAGUAAAAUUAAAAAAGGCAUACUAAAUGGUCCAGAUAUACCAAAGCUGAUUAAAAGUGACGCAUUCAACAAUAUUUUGAUUGACGCUGAAUUGAAUGCAUGGCAGGCAAUGAAAGAAGUAAUAGAAGGUUUGUUGGGAAAGCAUCGUUUUAACAACUACGAUGUUUCUGUCGCAAGGAUGUUAAGAGCAUUCUCGGAAAUUGGUGUCCACAGGUCCUUGAAAAUCCAUUAUUUACAUCAUCAUCUGGACUAUUUCAGCAAACAAUUGGCUACCGAAUCUGAUGAACAAGAUGAACGCUAUCAUCAAGUUGCUAUGCCAUUUGAAAUGAGAUAUAGAGGCAAAAAGUCUCCGAGUUCAAUAAUUGCGGAAAUUUGCUGGUGGAGUAGGCUUGUGUGGUAAGACAGGGAUGAUCUUGAUGAUAAAGAAUUUUCAGAAGGGCCAACAGUGGAGUCACACAUUGACAUUAUGUGUGGUUCAGAAACUGUUGAUAGUGAUGAAUGCGAUGCCACUAGUCCCGAACAACCACCGUCGAAAAAGUCUAGGCAAUAUUUAUUAAAAUAAAUAAAAAUAAAUAAAUAAAAUAAAAAUAAAACAUUAUAAAAAUGUUUACUUUAUUUUUUUAGUAGUUUAUGGCCAGAAGUCUGGAGUUAUUGGGGAAAAUUUAUAAAAAAGGCGACAAAUGACACUUUUUUUAAAUAAAAACAAAUAAAACAAAUAGAAAUUGUAAUUCUUAAUUUUUCUAAAUUUAUUUCAUCAAAAUCGGACAAGUGGUUCGCGAGUGGUUCGCGAGUUUUUGCCAAAAUGUUACAACUAAGCGAAAAAACAUCAAGAUAAGGAAAAAAUUUAAAAGGUGAUAAAAAAAAACUGACACAUACGAACGCCAAACCCUUUGAGGGUUUUACUAUACUGACCUAGUACCAUCACCCUGACUUGGAAUUUCUCACCCCCCAGACAAUAAUCCCAAAAAUGUUCCAUAG